AAUGAACGCUGGCGGCGUGCUUAACACAUGCAAGUCGAACGGUAACAGGAGCAGCUUGCUGCUUGCUGACGAGUGGCGCACGGGUGAGUAAUAUAUAGGUUACGUGCCUCUUAGUCUGGGAUAGCCACUGGAAACGGUGAUUAAUACUGGAUAUUCCUGCUUGCAGGGAAAGGUUUUUCGCUAAGAGAUCGGCCUAUACUGUAUCAGCUAGUUGGUGAGGUAAGAGCUCACCAAGGCGAUGACACAUAGCGGGUUUUGAGAGGAUGAUCCGCCACACUGGGUACUGAGACACGGGACCAGACUCCUACGGGAGGCAGCAGUGAGGAAUAUUGCACAAUGGGGGAAACCCCUGAUGCAGCAACGCCGCGUGGAGGAUGACGCAUUCGGUGUGUAAACUCCUUUUAUCAGAGAAGAACAUGACGGUAUCUGAUGAAUAAGCUCCGGCUAACUCCGUGCCAGCCGCC
RNAcentral lists this ribosomal RNA (464 nucleotides) under uncultured bacterium. Its description in RNAcentral is "bacterial SSU rRNA". It matches the Rfam family "Bacterial small subunit ribosomal RNA", at positions 29 to 516 of the family's 1533-position model. The record is from RNAcentral.